Molecule: ribosomal RNA, 397 nt
Filed under: uncultured bacterium
Lineage: Bacteria
Description: bacterial SSU rRNA
Rfam family: Bacterial small subunit ribosomal RNA
Source: RNAcentral
AGUGAACGCUGGCGGCAGGCCUAACACAUGCAAGUCGAGCGGCAGCGCGUCCGACCACCCUCGGGUGGUCGGAUGGCGGCGAGCGGCGGACGGGUGAGGAAUGCAUCGGAAUCUGCCUCGUUGUGGGGGAUAACGUAGGGAAACUUACGCUAAUACCGCAUACGACCUACGGGUGAAAGUGGGGGACCUUCGGGCCUCACGCGAUGAGAUGAGCCGAUGCCGGAUUAGCUAGUUGGCGGGGUAAAGGCCCACCAAGGCGACGAUCCGUAGCUGGUCUGAGAGGAUGAUCAGCCACACUGGAACUGAGACACGGUCCAGACUCCUACGGGAGGCAGCAGUGGGGAAUAUUGGACAAUGGGGGCAACCCUGAUCCAGCCAUGCCGCGUGUGUGAACGAA